This 4244-nucleotide long non-coding RNA is filed under the name Triticum aestivum (bread wheat). RNAcentral's name for it is "long non-coding RNA (TAES_LNC001751)". The record is from RNAcentral. Lineage: Eukaryota; Viridiplantae; Streptophyta; Magnoliopsida; Poales; Poaceae.
GGAGAACAACUUGGCUGCGUGCAAACCGCGAUUCAGACAUACUGACAUUAUUAAAGGACCCUGUAUUUCGCUUGUUCAUCAUCUAUAUAUAGAUGUAAGCAUGCAUUACAGAAUUCCAACAAAGGACACGAGGUCCCCUCAGGAGUACAAGAUCACAGCUCUCGUGGCAACAACAUCGGCCACAACGUAUGAUCGAAGCAGCAGCAGUAAAACUAAUUUAUUAGGGAAACAGUAGAACUAGUAAAGCAGUAAAUCAAACGGGGUGGAGCCAUGCAGCAAGGACGGCUGGCUUCCACGAUUUAUUUCGCUCUCACCAUGCAUCUGAAAUGGUUCCGGUCUCACGCUUAACGCACCCUGCAUACAUCAAAUGAAAGUUAAAACAAAACAAUCAUUUGUUAAUUCGUUAACUCAUGUGUCCAUCAGUCCAUGCAUGUAAUCAUAUAGAUCUAUGAAAAGUCCUAAAGCUGUAGCAUUAGGGCAACUGGGUAAGUAAUUACUUGGAGCAAUCGGUUCCUUGGCUGAUGGCGUAGGGGAUGUUGACGCCGCACUUGCCGGGGAUGCCGGCGACGAGGUUGGGCUUGAUGCCGCCCAUGCCGCUCGCCUGCUGCUUGAGACAGGUGCAGGUGGUCUUGCGGUCGGCGGGGGUGGCAGCGGCCGCGUUAAGGCCACGCACGCCGCUGCAGCAGCCGCCGCCAGGCACACUCACCCUGCCCAUGGCGUAACUGAUGCACGGGGCCAGGUAGCUCACCACCUGGCCGCAGUUCGCAACCGCACCCUCGGCCGGCGCCGGUGCCGCAGACAGCACGAGCGCCGCCACCAGCAGGGCCAAGGCCGCCGCGGCGUGGGCACGGCGAGCUGCCAUGGCAGAAACUAGCUAGUGUGCUUGCUCUGUGGGCUUAGUUGGUGUGUGAGUGAAGGCCGAGGGACUGUGAGUGAGUGGGUGAGGAUUUGGGGACUGGCUAGGAGGGUUUUUAUAGUGGUUUUGGGCCGGGUGGUCGACUGGUAAGAAAACAGUUAUUACUACGCGGAGUACGGCGGUGAGGUAGCUGGUGGUAGUUGGGACAUAUCUCUUCACUUACUAGGGAUGGAUUCAUUCAUGGCGCCUGCAGAUGGCAGAAGAGCCGUGUCGACGUCUAACAUACGUAUCUCUUCACUUAUCUCUGCAGUUCAGGAGGGCAAGGAUGGAAGCCCGCACUCCACUGUCUGCAUACGCGACGAAGCCUGCACUUCACCAUGCACAUAGGUCACGAGCUUUUGCCCGAUUUUUGUUUCAAAAAGAUCAAGAACAAUUAUAAAGGUUCACUGGAAAUGUAACCUAUUAGGACUUCUCGAGCAGGUGUAAGAUAUGUGUUGAUAAAAUUUAUUUUUUUCGCAAAUACGCAAAGCUUGCGAAUCCUACAGCUCCUCCUGGUAGCAUGGAUCAGCUAGGCGCUGGAGGUAGUGCCUCCAUCAAACACGCACGAAUUGCGAUGCUUUCAAAUUGACCAGGGAACGAGAAGAAUGAGCGAGGAAACGCCUUUCUUGUAGGCUGCCAGGACUGAAUCGUACGUAGUGUGCCACCGAUCCAGAAAGAUAUUUUGUGGCGAGGGAACCCGAGCAUGGUGAAGACACCAAGCGAAAGUGUCGUGCUAGAUUUGUCUCGAGAACGGGCAGCCCACCAGCAAGUGCUCCAUGGAUUCUGGUGCCUGGUCACGGAGCAGGCUGGACAGGACGUGUGAUGAGGAAGGUUGUGUCUAGCCAGGUGAGGGGCCGUCCAACACCGGUUUUGCAGCACGAGCCAAGCAAAAAAUUUGAUCCACAAAAGCGCCCAUGAUUUCCAAGUGAGCUACCAGUGGGGAGCGUUGAUGAAGCUGAAGAGGCCCAAAUAGCAUGACUUCACCGAAUAGAUGCCGAUGUCGGUCCAUCACCGGCGCAAGGAGUCAGGCACGCUGAUGAUAUGACAUGAAAUAAAUAAGAAGAUAGGGUAAAAUUGCAUAUAGAUUACUACUAGUAAUCAACAACCUUUGCACUAGCUCCAAGACAAAAUAUACUAGAACAAUCACAUUUAUUCUCACUUCCUACUGAGAGCAUGCUUGGAUACGUUUUAGUCCCAUGACUAAAAAUAGUGUGACUAAAACUUGCUAGUCUCACCCAUGCUUGGAUCCAAAUACUAAAGAGACUAAACUCUAGUUAUUGAGCAUUUAUUAUCCUCCAAACCCUCCAAUCCAGAACUAAGGAGAGGAAUUAAAUGAGGAGAGAGAGAGCUAAUACAUAUUUUAGUAGGUUUCCCAUGACUAAAAGAUUUUAGCCUCAAGACUAGUCCUAGCCUCUCUUUAGUCAGGGGUGCUUGGAACUUUAGCCUCUAAAAGAGACUAUUUUUAGUCAGACUAAAAAUAGUCCCUUGUAUCCAAGCACCCUCUGAACAAUUUAGAUAGUACAAAAUAUUGAAGUAAUUGUACGAUUAUUCAUUGAUUGAUUGAUGACAUAAACAUUUAACAAAGCUAUAUUUAACUUGUUGAAAAUGCCUUCAAAAUAGCGAAUGCUUGUUCGGUGGAGUGGGUGGCUGUUAUUUAUGUACAACUACUAGAGAGUAGUCAUUCCUAGCUACACAGGCUCCAUCGUGCGUCCAUGCAUGCAUGCAUGUUUCACUGUCAGGCACUAGUACAGUAGAUGUGGCGAAGUACACUGUUGCAGGCUUAAUUGCUGGCAGGCUAGCCAGCUACAGUACUACUGCCAUGCAUAAGUCCACGUCCAUGCGGCACCCGUACAAGAACUAGCUAGGCGCGCAUGUGUGCAUGUCUAUGGAAAACAACCAACCCAUUUACAUGGAGUGACAAACUAGGGGGAAGGUCUUGGAGAUUAUGUACUAUAUCUGCUCCAAAUAUAUGGACCCGUGUGUGUAGACUUGAUUCUCAGAGCGAAUGCGAAUGUGAUGUGCAGGGAUAUCAUGCCUCCAGUGAAAAGAAUUACGGAGGUGAUUUGUGUACGCACAUAUACUCCUUUCGGUCAUUUUUACUUUGCAUAUUAGGUUUGUCCGAAAUCAAUUUUAUCCAACUUUGACCAAGUUUAUAUAAAAAAAUUAUAGACAUUCACAUAACAACAUCAAUAUCAUUAGAUUCAUCUUGAAAUAUAUUCUCAUAUUAUAUUUAUUAGAUAUUAUAGAUGCUAAUAAUUUUUAAUAUAAAUUUGGUCAAACUUAGCAAAGUUUGACUUUCGACAAAUUCAAUAUACAGAGUAAAAAGGACCGGAGGGAGUACUAGCUAGGAGUCCGAAGAAUGGAGGGAGUGGGAAAAUAUCAGGUGCUACCAACACUUAAGUGAUACCAUGAUACGGGCUUCUGGGUCGUUGGAUCUCAGAUCCGACGGCUUCCGGAAGUUUAUUGCACCUACGCGAAAUUUUGAGACUUCCGGAUGAAUUUUUUUACAAAAUGCUCAAGAACUUCGGGAGCCGUCGGAUCUGAGAUCCAACGGCUCCCAGAAGCCCGUAUGAUGAUAUCACCUAACACAUGGUAUCACUUGAUAACUCCUGGAGGGAGUAGCAGGUACUAGUACGAGAAGUCCAUCGCUGCACGCAGCGGCAGCUGCACGCAGCGCAUCCACGGCUGGCACAUCAUCGCGAUUAGGACCAGCCGAAGUGCUACUUCGAGUAUAGUGCACCGCCGACGAGCGUUAUGUUUCGUGUAUGUUGUAUUCGUUGUACUGUGAACUAACAGUCGGACUGACGCAGCUACUGCAAGCACUGCGCAUGUGCAGGCGAGAGGACGGAAUACUACCGUUGCACCGCACAUUGUAUAACGUAAACACUUUACCCAGCUGCAUGUAUUUAAGGCCCAUGCACCAGCCGUUGGCAGUACCGAUCGUUUUGCACGCACACAAGCAUAUCUGCGUUGCCGCGUUCCGUCGACGUCGCCGUGCCGCGAUGUCCCAGAGCUCAUCCUCCGCACUAGCCGCUACGAUAGAUGUCUUGACGGUCGCACUAGCCGCUACGAGCGAAGACAAAUAAAAGUAGCAAUAGCUAAACUUCUCUAAACAAAACCCUAGUCUAACCUAGAUGAAGACUAUUUAUUUAUAAGUAGUAUAGAAAUCAACGCGCCGCCUUGAUGCUAUCUCCGUACACGUGAUGGGCCGUGUAGCGGCGUGGCAGACUUGGGCCCAUGCUCCUGGACUCUUUCUGGACUCCUCCGCCGUGUGCAUGCAUGCACAAGCAUGCCCGUACAUGGACGGGAAACUUGCAUGCGUGCUCAUCUCUAAUUAAGUAAAUCAAAC